This 732-nucleotide ribosomal RNA is filed under the name bacterium PS-AG-1. RNAcentral's name for it is "bacterial SSU rRNA". It matches the Rfam family "Bacterial small subunit ribosomal RNA", at positions 56 to 784 of the family's 1533-position model. The record is from RNAcentral.
UGCAGUCGAACGGUAACAGGAAGUGCUUGCACUUCGCUGACGAGUGGCGGACGGGUGAGUAAUGCUUGGGAACUUGCCUUUGCGAGGGGGAUAACAGUUGGAAACGACUGCUAAUACCGCAUAAUGUCUUCGGACCAAACGGGGCUUAGGCUCCGGCGCAAAGAGAGGCCCAAGUGAGAUUAGCUAGUUGGUAAGGUAACGGCUUACCAAGGCGACGAUCUCUAGCUGUUCUGAGAGGAAGAUCAGCCACACUGGGACUGAGACACGGCCCAGACUCCUACGGGAGGCAGCAGUGGGGAAUAUUGCACAAUGGGGGAAACCCUGAUGCAGCCAUGCCGCGUGUGUGAAGAAGGCCUUCGGGUUGUAAAGCACUUUCAGUUGUGAGGAAAAGUUAGUAGUUAAUACCUGCUAGCCGUGACGUUAACAACAGAAGAAGCACCGGCUAACUCCGUGCCAGCAGCCGCGGUAAUACGGAGGGUGCGAGCGUUAAUCGGAAUUACUGGGCGUAAAGCGCACGCAGGCGGUUUGUUAAGCUAGAUGUGAAAGCCCCGGGCUCAACCUGGGAUGGUCAUUUAGAACUGGCAGACUAGAGUCUUGGAGAGGGGAGUGGAAUUCCAGGUGUAGCGGUGAAAUGCGUAGAUAUCUGGAGGAACAUCARGUGGCGAAGGCGACUCCCUGGCCAAAGACUGACGCUCAUGUKGCGAAAGUGUGGGUAGCGAACAGGAUUAGAUA